AUCAAAGCCUCAGGGACAAUGGACUGGGUCCUUUGAAUUCAGUAAAGUAUUUGAUUUUCAAAGUACGACAUCCACAGAAAUAUCUUACAAACCCCCUGAAUUAGGUAACUUAACUUCCAAUAAUGUUUUUUUGUUACCAGUUAUAUCUAUUCUUUAUGAAACUCACACAAUUCUAUUUAUUUUCUAAAUAGCAAACCAAAUUGUAUUGGAGGCCCAGCCAGAAACAGGUAUAGCUUUGCAAAUUCAUUUUUCCUAUUUAAACCCUAGCUGUCAUGUAAAAAUUUGGUGGCAUUUCAUAGACAUUAAAAUGUAACCCAUGCGAACCAAUACCUGAGUUAUUAUUUUUGUUGUUGCAUAUUUGACAGUUUUGUUACCCUAUGCUGUGUAAAUGUCAGUUUUUAACAGAUGGUAUAACUGAUUACAAUAUAACGUUGCACUGCUCUCCUGACUCUGUGAAUGAGCAUGUUUUGUGUUUUUCUUAUUGUAGUCGUUGCAACUUGUUCAUUAACCGGAAAGAAACUAACAGCACCAAUCACAAUGUAAGUAUGAGCAUGGGACGCUGGGCAAAAAAGCAUAAGGAACGAUAAACACUGUUGUUAUUGAACUGACACACACAUGUAUAUUAAUACUUGAAGGAAUAAACAGUCACUCAGUGGAAAAUGUCUUCAAGUUGUAAUUAUUCAUAAAGGACACCACACAUGAACCAUGUUAGGAUAACCUAUUAUUACAUUAUACGGUUUUACGGUUUAGUGCUUUCACUUUGAAUCAAUAAUUUUAGAACAGAAUGUGAUAAGAUCGAUUCAUUUGUGCCAGUUUUCUAAAACACGUUAUCUGCACUUUUUGGCAAUGUUAUGCUUGUAUAACGUCCUUUGAAAAAAAAAAAGUAUUUUCUGGCUUUCAAAAUUAAAGACACUCCAGGCACUAAAACAACUUCAUCUAAAUUAAGUUGUUAUGGUGUCAUGAGGCCCCUGAAGGCACUCUUACCUCAAGGGGUUUAAACCAUUCUAAAACGGGUUAACCCCUUAGUUGCCUCUUGCGCUGAUCUCCACUCCCCCUCUGGUGGCUUCAGGCUUCUGAAUUUUCACGUUCAGGAAGUGUGGAGUGCCGUCUUGCAGGGGCAUGGCUGAUUGGCUGAGAGCAGUCAACUGAUGAUCUCAGCCAAUCAGUGACUCCCCAUUCACUUAACUGGCUUGCAAAAGGUAAGUUUCUUUUCAAGCCAGUUUUAGUGAAGCCGGAAGCUGCCAGAGGGGGAGUGGAAAUCAGCGCUUGAGGCAACCUAGGGGUUAAACCAUUUGAUAAUGAUUUAUCCACUUGAAAUAAGAGUGCGCCCAGGGACCUCCUAGCACCAUAACAACUUAAUUUAGAUUAAAGGGGCACUAUAGUCACCAGAAUAACUUUAGCUUAAUUAAGCCUUUUUUGUGUAUAGAUCAUGCCUCUGAAGUCUCACAGUUCAAUUAUCUGCCUUUUAGGAGUUAUAUCACUUUUGCUUCUGUUUAUGCAGCCCUAGUAAUGCCUCCCCUGGCUGUCACUUACACAGCCUGCAAGAAAAAAAUGGUUUCAUUUUCACAAGUAAGUAACAGAUGUUACUUACUUUAAAAGUUUUUAUCUCCUACUCUACAAAUUGAACUCUAAUUACAUACAGGAGGCUCCUGCAAAGUCAAGAAAGCUAUUAACAGAGCAUGAUAUAUGCAAUUCUAAAUUAAACCGUAUUUGCAAUAAAGGAAGUGUAAACAUUAGAUGACUCUUUACAGGAAGUGUUUAGAAAGGCUGAGUAAGUCACAUGCAGGGAGCUGUGACUAUGGCUGCAUAACCAAUGUGAUUUAACUCCUAAAUGGCAGAAAAUGAAGCAGUGAGACUGAAGGGGCAUAAUCUAUACAUCAAAACUGGUUUAUUUAGCUAAAGUUGUUUUGGUGACUUUAGUGUCCCUUUAAGGCUAAAAUAACUGAAAUCAAAAGAUUCUCUAAAUGCCACCAGCUCGGCUAUAUUCCUCUAAAAUUUGAAAUUCACUUUGAAUCCUCUAUGAAUUCCCAGCAAUACUCAAUUUAGUAAAUAACCCUAUAAAAGUCAAAUCAAAAAAGAUAACAAAUAUCUCUUAUAUUUUUCAGAGUUGACUGUGCUAAUGGAUGUGUGGGUCCAAAAGUAAAUGUUUGGGGAAUAGAUAUAUACACUGAGG
Molecule: non-coding RNA, 2173 nt
Organism: Pelobates cultripes (western spadefoot toad)
Lineage: Eukaryota; Metazoa; Chordata; Amphibia; Anura; Pelobatidae
Source: the annotation of a GenBank genome assembly